UGGGGAAUUUUGGACAAUGGGCGCAAGCCUGAUCCAGCCAUGCCGCGUGCGGGAAGAAGGCCUUCGGGUUGUAAACCGCUUUUGUCAGGGAAGAAAUCUUCUGAGUUAAUACCUCGGGAGGAUGACGGUACCUGAAGAAUAAGCACCGGCUAACUACGUGCCAGCAGCCGCGGUAAAUACGUAGGGUGCAAGCGUUAAUCGGAAUACUGGGCGUAAAGCGUGCGCAGGCGGUUUUGUAAGACAGAGGUGAAAUCCCCGGCUCAACCUGGGAACUGCCUUUGUGACUGCAAGGCUUGAGUGCGGCAGAGGGGGGAUGGAAUUCCGCGUGUAGCAGUGAAAUGCGUAGAUAUGCGGAGGAACACCGAUGGCGAAGGCAAUCCCCUGGGCCUGCACUGACGCUCAUGCACGAAAGCGUGGGGAGCAAACAGGAUUAGAUAGCCCUGGUAGUCCACGCCCUAAACGAUGUCAAC
RNAcentral lists this ribosomal RNA (470 nucleotides) under uncultured bacterium. RNAcentral's name for it is "partial 16S ribosomal RNA". It matches the Rfam family "Bacterial small subunit ribosomal RNA", at positions 355 to 816 of the family's 1533-position model. The record is from RNAcentral.